GAUGAAGAACGCAGCGAAAUGCGAUAAGUAAUGUGAAUUGCAGAAUUCAGUGAAUCAUCGAAUCUUUGAACGCACAUUGCGCCCCUUGGUAUUCCGGGGGGCAUGCCUGUUCGAGCGUCAUUAUAACCCCUCAAGCUCAGCUUGGUGUUGGGGCCUGCCAACUGGCAGCCCUUAAAAUCAGUGGCGGCGCCAUCUGGCUCUAAGCGUAGUACUUUCUCUCGCUAUAGGGUCCCGGUGGAUGCUUGCCAACAACCCCCAAUUUUCUAUGGUUGACCUCGGAUCAGGUAGGGAUACCCGCUGAACUUAAGCAUAUCAAUAAGCGGAGGA
This 327-nucleotide unclassified non-coding RNA is filed under the name soil metagenome. Its description in RNAcentral is "partial contains 5.8S ribosomal RNA, internal transcribed spacer 2, and large subunit ribosomal RNA". The stretch from base 1 to 120 matches the Rfam family "5.8S ribosomal RNA", at positions 35 to 154 of the family's 154-position model. The record is from RNAcentral.